This 676-nucleotide ribosomal RNA is filed under the name Bacillus sp. (in: firmicutes). Its description in RNAcentral is "bacterial SSU rRNA". It matches the Rfam family "Bacterial small subunit ribosomal RNA", at positions 84 to 746 of the family's 1533-position model. The record is from RNAcentral. Lineage: Bacteria; Bacillati; Bacillota; Bacilli; Caryophanales; Bacillaceae.
UUUGAAGAUCAGCGGCGGACGGGUGAGUAACACGUGGGCAACCUGCCUGUAAGACUGGGAUAACUUCGGGAAACCGGAGCUAAUACCGGAUAAUCCUUUCCCUCACAUGAGGGAAAGCUGAAAGACGGUUUCGGCUGUCACUUACAGAUGGGCCCGCGGCGCAUUAGCUAGUUGGUGAGGUAACGGCUCACCAAGGCAACGAUGCGUAGCCGACCUGAGAGGGUGAUCGGCCACACUGGGACUGAGACACGGCCCAGACUCCUACGGGAGGCAGCAGUAGGGAAUCUUCCGCAAUGGACGAAAGUCUGACGGAGCAACGCCGCGUGAACGAUGAAGGCUUUCGGGUCGUAAAGUUCUGUUGUUAGGGAAGAACAAGUACCGGAGUAACUGCCGGUACCUUGACGGUACCUAACCAGAAAGCCACGGCUAACUACGUGCCAGCAGCCGCGGUAAUACGUAGGUGGCAAGCGUUGUCCGGAAUUAUUGGGCGUAAAGCGCGCGCAGGCGGUUCCUUAAGUCUGAUGUGAAAGCCCCCGGCUCAACCGGGGAGGGUCAUUGGAAACUGGGGAACUUGAGUGCAGAAGAGGAGAGCGGAAUUCCACGUGUAGCGGUGAAAUGCGUAGAGAUGUGGAGGAACACCAGUGGCGAAGGCGGCUCUCUGGUCUGUAACUGACGC